This 253-nucleotide ribosomal RNA is filed under the name uncultured bacterium. Its description in RNAcentral is "partial 16S ribosomal RNA". It matches the Rfam family "Bacterial small subunit ribosomal RNA", at positions 524 to 776 of the family's 1533-position model. The record is from RNAcentral.
GACGGAGGGUGCAAGCGUUGUCCGGAAUCAUUGGGCGUAAAGAGCGUGUAGGCGGCCCGGUAAGUCCGCUGUGAAAGUCCAGGGUUCAACCCUGGGAUGCCGGUGGAUACUGUCGGGCUCGAGUCCGGAAGAGGAGUGUGGAAUUCCUGGUGUAGCGGUGAAAUGCGCAGAUAUCAGGAGGAACACCAAUGGCGAAGGCAGCACUCUGGGACGUGACUGACGCUGAGACGCGAAAGCGUGGGGAGCAAACAGG